GUGGCUGCUCUGGGCAACGUGCUGUUCUCUGAGGGGGUUCCGUGGCCCUCCCGGGGUUGGGACUGCAGUGGGCUCUGAGUCUCUCCCCCUGCCAGGUUCCCCCUCCCUGGGGCAUGGAGGCUCCUCAGGUGGGCUACCUGGUAAUUAUUCCAAUUUUCCAGCACAUUUGGGUUGAGUAGGGAGGCAGGUUCACCUGCUGAGCUGAUUCCAGGGAUCGGGCAAGAAGUCAAUGGGCAGCAGGUGAGGUUGCCGCUGUGAUCUCCUUCUGGUCGACUCUCCUCAGAAGAGAACAGGGCUGCUCCCUGUCCUUCAGCCCAGCUCUCCUGUUUUCUCAUCAUCUCAGCAGGACAGGAAAGACAGAACCUGCCAGAACCAAGAAUGAACAUGGUGAGAAGAGAGGCAGGCACAUGGUGGAUUGACUGCAGGGCAUGUGGAUCAGGCAAAAAGCCAGUGGGAUCAGGUGAGGUUGCUGCCGUGACCUCCUUCAGGUCGACCGUCCUACUCAGCAGAGACCAGACCUGCCCCUCGUCUUCCAGCCCUGCGUCUGGUGUGUUUUCUCAGCUCCUCAGCGGGACAAGAAAGGAUCGAGCCUGCCAGAACCAAGCAGCAACACCAGGAGUGUGCAGGUAUGGAGAAAAGAGCCGUGUGAAGACAAGAGAGAAAGUGGCCAUCUGCAACUCAAGGAGAGAAGCCUCAGGAGAGACAUCACCACUGGCACCUGGAUCCUGGACUUUCAGCACUAUGAGGAAGUACACUUCUGUUGUUUAAGCCAUCUAGUCUGGUGUAUUUUAUUUCAAACCUCAAGCUAGCACCUGUCUAUUAAAAUUACGGUUUUCUCUGGAUCUGUGCCCAGGAAUGGGAU
Molecule: long non-coding RNA, 862 nt
Organism: Bos taurus (domestic cattle)
Lineage: Eukaryota; Metazoa; Chordata; Mammalia; Artiodactyla; Bovidae
Source: Ensembl